Long non-coding RNA from Canis lupus familiaris (dog), 8913 nucleotides. RefSeq lists it as uncharacterized. The transcript has 6 exons. NCBI's taxonomy places the organism in Eukaryota, Metazoa, Chordata, Mammalia, Carnivora, Canidae. The record is from RefSeq and is a predicted model, not a curated record.
UCCUUGCUUAGGGUUUGGCACAAAUUAGGUGGCUAAGAAAUACUUUCUGAUGACUGAAUGAUUGGUAACCAUGAGCUUAGUCAUUUUAGUCUCAUGCUGAGAUAGUUCUAUGAUGAAACUGCAUUGCUGGAAGAUCCUUGAAGACAAAUAUUUUAAGCUUAACAAAGGGGAUUUGUUUUUAAUGUAAAAAGGCAACAGCAGAACUCUAGCAGAAAUAAAAUUGCAAGAAAAAUUCGGUCCUCAUGCUUCAGAGAGUAAACCAAUCACCAUUUCAGGAGGCUACCAGGAAUGUAAUUGGUGAGAUGCUUGCUCCAGGUUCUGGGAUGAUCAGACCCAGGUACCAGCCUGAGGCAUCUGUGGCACCAGGUGAGAGUAACCAUGGACUGAUUAACCACAAGCCAUCUAUUUCUUCAGCUGCUCAGGACCUGCAGUGAGUUCCAGAUGCCAGUUUAUGCAGCAUAAUAUUAUAGGCUGAGUGACCAAAACAUUUGCAAGGACAAGAACUUCUUCGAGGUGCUAAAGUUCUUGUAAAAGGGAGGCAGCAUAAUGAAGUCAUUAAGAAUGGAAUCUGGGACUCCUUCAGUUAAGUACAUUUCUUAUCUUCUCUGGUGAGCCCGUUUCUUCUGUAAAAUGAGGUUAUAAAACUAUUUUCUUUAGAGAUUCCUUUUGAGGAAUAAAUGACUUACUACACACAAAGUACAUAGAGGAGUGACAGCAUAUGCUGAGCAAUUAAUAAUAAUAAUGACAACCUUAUGAUGAUGGUGAUGUUGAUGAGUGAAGGACAGUGAACCACUUAGGUACAUGUGGCACAAACUGGUUUCCUGAUUCAGUCAGGAAAACUAAAUUUCUUCAGCAAAGUUGGAUUUAGUCCAACUUUGGGUUUUUCUUUUUUUUUUUUUUUUCAAGAUUUUAUUUAUUUAUUCAUGAGAGACACACAAAGAGAGAGGGACAGAGACACAGGCAGAGGGAGAAGCAGGCUCCAUGCAGGGAGCCCGACAUGGGACUCAAUCCCAGGACUCUAGGAUCACGCCCUGGGCUGAAGGUGGCGCUAAACCACAGAGCCACCGGGGCUGCCCCACUGGGUUUUUCUAAUCAGUGAAUUGUCUGGCUCAAACAGAUGGACACAUCCAUCAAUCCAUCCAUCCAUCCAUCCAUCCAUCCAUCCAUCCAGUCAGUAAUCACUGAUUGAAUAAAUAUAAGUUGGGAGUCACAGGUUAGAUGUUAGAGGUAUAGUGAUGAAUAGACAUAGUUGGGGUAGGGGAACAAUCAAUGAUUGUAGCUAGUUUGGAUUUCAUGGAGGAGUAACAUUGUAAAUACACAUUGGGUUACUGGCGCUGGGCUGCUAACAUUUUACUUUGCCGAUUCAGGGUGCUUAAAAGAGCCAAUUUCAUUUUCAUUUUCAUCACCACAUCUUAACCCCAAAGCAGUAGAAAGAAUAUGAUAUCAAAAUAGAUGUCUAUAAAAUUAAAUAUAUUUAGCAUUUAGGAGAAAAAGCUAUUAACCUGGCCCAAAAUAGAUGCUUGAUAAUUUCUUGUUGAAUGAACGUACCAUUUCCUUAUUUUCUUCAGGCCUCUACAGACCAGUGAAUCGUUGUUUGCAGACCAGUACUUAGGAAUAUGGAAGAAAGUGGUCUUCUUUUCGUGUAUUUAGAUUAGACUUUGCAGACACCUUUUACUGCGUACCUCUUCAAGGAGAAAACUAGAUGCAGAGGUGUAAGGUUAUCCCUUUAACAGAGGUAGUCAAUGAUGUUUAAAUAAAAACGGCUUUCAAGGGGAAGGCUUGGAGUGUUCUUUGAUAAAUUAUGGGAAUGGAUUUUAGUUCAUAAAUCAAAAAUUUGUAUGAGCUUUUUGUGAAUUUUAUGUGCUUUGUGGUUGAAGGUUAUAUUCCUGAGAGUUUAAACAGAAACUUCAUGGUUAACAGUUAAAUAUCUUAGGGAACACACUGCUGAUGCUCAGUAGAGAUAAUGAGACAGGACCCAUAGACCUAUAACUUGAGAGACCUUUUAUUCACCGGGAUCAUCUUUUAUCAAUUUCCCUUUGUUCACUGUGAUCCUGUUUUUGAGGAAUGUUACUAUUUUCUCACCUUCUAUCCUUUAUCUUUCCAGCACACAACUAUAAUAGACUUGUGUCAGCAGGAUGUUUCUUCCUAAGGCUUAUCAGAUACCACCAUGUGCAACAUUUUCAUUUAAUUUUCACCAAGGCGGAACAAUUUUUUUCUUAAUAGUUUUAUAUGCAUAGGAACCACUGAUCCAGGAUUAGCUAUAAUCCAACUGAAUUCUUAAGAUUGAAAGUAACAACUUUUCUUUUCAUAAGGAUAGAAUAUGUUUAUCUAAUAAAAGGGUGACUUUAUGCUUUUUAAAGUGCCACAAGUUGAAGGACAGCAAAUUAGUGUGGGAUUGGCACAUUGAAAGGGUGUACCUCUCUGCCUUGUGAUUGUCCCCAUAGACUUGGAUUCUCUGGGGCUUUGAGAGGCUGACUGAUGAAUAGUUUUUUUUUUUUUUUCUAGAGAUGUCAAACUUGCAGGAAUGAAGAGUCACAUUUCCUGCAAAUCAGAGAGUCUUCUUAAGGCCUGUCUCAAGUGGGCUGUGACAGACAGACACAGAAUGGUGAUAGGGCCAGGAGUCCACCUUAGCUUCCUUGGGAUAUAGAAAUCAAGUUAUUUCACCAAGAAAUGGCAUUGUUAUCAUUUAAAUUUUCUAUUUUGAUUGAUUUUUCAACUUCCUGUAAUGAAAACAAGUUACUUUUAUAAUCUCUGAAAAAGAGCAUUAUGCUUUUUCAAAUAAGAGGUCAAGUAUUAUAUGCCAAACACCUAAAGUUCUUAAGGAGUAAUUCAUAUUUUUAUUCAAAGCCUAUUUGCUCUCAUUCUAAUGUGUUAGUUAUUGUGUUAUUAGCUUAUAUCAAUGGAAAAAGUGUAAACAGCAGAAGAUAAAAGAAUUUACAGUUGCAAAAGCACCAGUUAUAAUUUCAGAAGAAAACACAUCCUGACAGCAUGAAAAGUGGCAAAAUAUUCUGAAUCUAAACAUAAAAGAACUUUUUUAAACGUAAAAAUUCCAAUCCAUUCCACUGAGUAUAGGGGCAUAAACUUUGUAUUCCUUGAUUCUUUCCCCCCAAAAAAGUAACAUUAUAUUUUAUAUCUUUUAAGUAAGAAGACAGAGAUCUAUGUAUUAUGCAUACAUUUUUUUCUUUUAAAUGUGUUAAAAAGGAAAUUCAUUAUAUAGGUCAUUACAUGGGUUGGUCUUACCUUAUUUGAAUCUCAGCUUCUUCAUCCCUAAAAUGAGUAUAUCAGUCAGUGUUCUUCAGAAGUGUAGAACCAAUAAGAUAUAUAAAAAUGAUUUUUAUUUAUUUAUAUUAUUGAUAAUGAUUGGUUUAUGACAAAUAAUGGUAAAUGAUGAAUUUAUAUUAUAUUUACUUAUGUAUAAUGUGGUUAAUUAUAAGGGAUCAGCCCACAUGAUUAUGGAGGCUGAGAAAUCUCAUGAUCUGCCACCUAUAAGCUAGAGUCCCAGGAAGCCAGUGGUGUAGUUAGAAGGGCUGAGAGACAGAUUCAGUGAUGUAGAUUCCAGCCCAAAUCCUCAAUAGCUGAGAACCAGAAGCACCAAAGGCAGAAGAAGAUUGAUGUCCCAGGUCAAGUAAUCAGGUAGAGAGCUAAUUCAUCCUUCCUCUGCCUCUUUGUUCUAUUCAGGCUCUCAACAGAUAUCAUGUCCACCCUCGCUGGGGAGGAUCAUCUACUUUAAAUGCUAAUCUCUUCCAGAAACACUUUCAUAGACACCCAAAAAUAAUGUUUAAUCAGAUAUCAGAGCAUCUCAUGGCUCAGUCAUGUUGAUGUGUAAAGCUAACCACCAUAUUAAUAUAUGAUGCUAAUGCUACCUGCCAGUCAGUGUCUAACUAGAAUAUAGAAACUACACAGGAAUUAUUAAAGAUGUUUCAUAUAAAAAACUGUACUCUAUAACAGAGGAUUACUGUAAUGAGGGACUGGCUAUUAGGAAGGAAAAAACUCCAAAGAGUAUAAAAAUAGUGAAAGUAAUGGCUGAGAUAGAGCCCCCAGGGAAAGGAUCCUUCAGAACUAAGAUCCAGACCUCAUUGGAAAGGGCAUGGCCAUGGCUCAGUGAAUGGCACAGAAGAUACUGUGGUACCAUGCUUGUAGCUCUUGCCAGAACUCCACUGAGGUGCCAGUGGAAUAUUUUGUGAAGCUGCCUUGGGGAGUAGGGGGUGUUGGGUGGGGUGUGUCAGAAGUUUCUGGAUAAGCAUCCAAAACACAGGAGUCUCUUUAACCCUGUUCUCUAGUUAACACUCUAUCUCUUGCCAGGUAUCCCUGACUCCAAUUGUACUCUGAUAUGAAAUAGGGCAAGUCUCUGGAAAGAGUAUAAUGAAUUUCAAGUCCUUUGAAAAAAAUAAAUUUUGAGCCGGAAGUGAGGAGAGAGUGAGAAGGUGACUUCACAGAGGCUACUACCAUUGAGCUGAAAGAAAGACAUAGUGGCAAGAAGACCAUGAAAUUAAGCAGUAUUGGAUAAAAUGUCACAGAUUCUUGGCACAUGGAGCUAAAUAGAAACAAGUGGAUCAGAAGCCCAGUUAUGCUGAUGAUGGGGAGGAAGUUGGGAGUAUCUCCUCUGAACUAUAUUUUUAAAUCAGUGAACAAAACGAGAAGAGCCAACUGCACAGACUGAGUAUUCAUUUCUCCGUAUCUCAUUGACAUGCAGCUGAGUUAAUACCUUCAGCAUUCCCAACCCUUCUAUCUCGGUGGCCCAUAAUCUCUUCUUUCUGCGAGAGAGGCAAAUAGUAUUUUUGAUCCUGAUUACCUGGAUUAAUAUUGAAAAACCUCUUCAGGCUGGUGUCCUAAAGAAAUUGGAAAAGUUCCCUUUCCAUUUGAAAUGACUUAAACUGUUAGGCUGGAACAAAAGACUCAUCUCUCCGAUAAUCAUCUCACCUUCUUGUCACUCGGAGUCCAAUUAAAUAAAUGACUCCCUGAUCUUUUGUCAAUUGUCAGCAGAUCUGGCUUUCACUUUUAAUCAGCCUGCACAUCAUGUGGACUUUAAAUUUUCUUUUCGCCCUUUCCUUUGUCCAUAAAUAUGAGGAGAGCAGGAGUCGAAAAGAGGUGGUCUAAGAAUAAGAUAAAUAUGCAGAUUUCUCUACGCAUUCUUCAUAUUCCUCCUGAGCCACCUUUUCUCUUUCCUCUGCAAAAAUAGUUGGGCCACUUCCAUUCAGAAAGAUGAUUUUAAAGACUGUUUUUUCUCAUUUUCACUGCUAUUUCUAUCUUUAAAGCACAUAGCUUCCAUUCAAACAACAAAAACAUGCUCUUUAACUGGAAAUUGGUUAGGGGAAAAAUAAGUGCUUGAAAACAGGAAUGUUUUGUCUCUUUGAAAGACUUCAAAGUCUAUCCUCCUCAUCAGUGGCUCAGUCCCAUAAUGAAUGUUUCAUUCUACUCAGAAUGGAUGAGAUCUGAUCCUUUUUCUCAAGAAAAAGUCCUUGACUCAAGGAGGAAUGCAAGACAAGGGGACACUGGAAGAGUAAACAGAAAUAUAACAAAAGAGGAAAUAAAGAUACAGUAGCAUCACACACAUUUAUGUAGAGACUGGAAUUCAGUCACGCCCUGCAAUGCAAGCAGCAGUGCCAUUGGGAGGGGAGUCUGGAAGUUACAGUCUUUUCUGGAAGCAGUACAGAUGUCCUGCCUGGCUCCUGGGAUAAGUUUACCUACCAUCUUUUCUUUAUCUUCAACUCAGAUGCAAAUGUAAGCUUUCGAUUAAUGUGAGUCAAGACCAAAAGCAAAAUGACAAAGGAGAGUUAAAAAUAGCUUGUAAGCCUUUUAUUUUUAGCACUAUGACCUACCAGUAUUCUACUACCCUACUCCUCACCACACACACACCAAAUGUUGCUAGGCAAAAUUUAACAAGACACUUGGAUUGUAUGGCUGAGUUUUGAAGCUAGAAAAUGAAAAUCCCUGAGAGGAAGGUGAAAAUCAAAGCACUGAGCUCUCUCAGGGGCAUUUGGUGGAUUUUGUGACAGAUUUUAAUUGCCCUUUGGAGUGGUAGACAAAGACUUGCACUCCAGAAGGUGGGGGAAUCAAAGAACUUUUCCAUGUACAACCAGUAUCCUCACAUUUGGUGAAAGGGUGAACUAAGAAAAAAUAUGUAUAUAACUUACUAGCUGAGCUAUACUAUGAGGAAAACUACCUAUGUUUGCUUUGGUGGUGGUAGAAUUAAAAAAAGCCCUGUUUGAGAGUUUGUAACCCAAGGCCUGGCCCCAUUUCAUUCAGUAUUUUGAAGAGAUAAUGUUUACCUGUUGAGAACACUGGAGGUGAUCGUGCAUGUUAGCAUAGUCCCCAGGGAACACUGAAUGAAGCAAAUGCAUAUCCUCUCAGUAGAGCCAUGCUCUCUACAUAGGACAUGAGUAGGUGUCAUUGGAAUUAACAGAAAGGAAAUUAGGUCCCCCAAGAACUAUAAAUGGAACAUCAAGAUUCAUCUGACUUUCUUAAAGGUAUAAUACAAAUAGUUCUAAAAAAGAAAGAUGAAAUAAAUCUAUGAUCAAUUAAUAAGAUAGUAGAACAAAGCAGGCAGGUUGAGAAAAGAAUCAAAAUAUACUUUCUGAAAAUAAAAAAUAUAAUUGCAAUGAAUCAUUUCAUAGAUAAGUUAAAGAAUAGACAGAAGAGAAAAUUUAUGAACUAAAAGCUAGACAUAAUGGAAUUCUUCAGAAUACAGCAAAAAGAGGUAAAAACGGAAAUCUGAAAGCGGUGUUAGAGGAUGGAGAACAGAAUGAGAAGCUGUCACAUACAUUCCACUAGUAUCUAGAAGACAAAAUAGAAAAAAUGGAGAGGCAACAUUCAAAGAGACAAUGAGUGAGAAUUUCCAGAAUUGAAAAGAGAUAUGAAUCUAUAAAAUACAGUUGACCCUUGGACAAUGAUUGGGUUAUGGGUGCUGACACCUUGUGUCUUUGAAAUCCACAUAGAAAUCUUGACUCUCUAAAAACUCUACUAUCAAAAGCCUACUGUUUUUUUUUUUUUAAAGAUUUUAUUUAUUCAUGAGAGACAGAGAGAGAGAGAGGCAGAGACACAGGCGGAGUGACAUUGAGGGAGCCCGACGUGGGACUCGAUCCCGGGACUCCAGAAUCACACCCUGGGCGUAAGGCAGGUGCUUAACCACUGAGCACUCAGCGAUCCCCAUCAAAAGCCUACUGUUGAUUGGAAGCCUUACCAAUAACAUAAACAGUCAAUCGACACAUAUUUUGAAUGCUAUAUGUAUUCCAUACUGUAUUCUUACAAUAUAAAGUAAGCCAGAGAAAAGAAAAUGUUGUUAAAAAAUCAUAAGGAAGAGAAAAUGCAUUUACAGUAGUGUAAAUGAUAUUUAGUAGUCAAUCAGUGCUGUACUGACUGAAAAGAAAUAUCCUCAUAAAAGUGGACCUGAACAGCUCAAACCCAUGUUAUUCAAGGGUCAGCUGCACCUAAGCAGGAUGCAUUCCUUUUAAAGAAAUCUCCACGUAAUCACAUUGUAAUGAAAUUGUACAAUACCAAAGACCUUAAAAGCUGCCAGAAAGAAAAGACAGAUUACUUGCAAUGAAAUCACUCUGAGUGGUUUUCUCUACAAUAGUAAGAAAGAAAAGAGGAAAAAAUGCUUGGAACAUAAAAGCAGAAUAGAGAGCUCAAACUGGUUGGAAUCAAUCUAAAUAAGCCAGUAUUUACAAUAAAAUCAGUGAACUAAAACUAUUACAAAAACAUUCUUCACUGAAGAAUUUUAUGUGAUUAUUUUCCCUAAGCAGCACAAAUUAGUCUUUUGCUAUCAAUGAGGCCAUUCAUUCAUUAAAUAUGAAUAAAUUCACUUCGCUAUUUCCAGUAUCUAGUAGGCAUAUAAUGCCUACUAUGUUCCAGGCAUUAUUUAUUUUAUGUGCUGGAGAUAGCAAAGUGAAUAAAUGUGGUGAAGUCUCUGUUGUCAUGGAUCCUACAUUCUUUCAAAAAGCCAUUCACUAACUGGCUAUAAUGUACAAGGUAUUUCUUAAAAGAUAUCGCAUUUAAAAAAAAAAAAGACAAAGGUUUUUGAGCCAAGGAUAUUUUGUAAUUUUCCUGUAAGAAAAUUAAAAUUAAAACUUCCUCAUUUUUAUUUAAAUAAGUAACAAAACCAUAAAUAAAUGACAAAACCCUGUAACCAAGAUUAUGAACUGUACUUUUACAACAAGAUCAUAGUUCAUAGCGUUUUUGCUUCUACAUUAAUAAUAUCUGAAAAUUUUCUGCCGAAACAGCCUACUGAGAGAUGAGUAAACGUCAAAUAAUUAAGCUUAAUUCAAUAAUUAAGUCCAUUAGGUAAUCCCAUCUUAUUGGACAAGGAAAUGAUCCAAAAAUUAAGAAAUUAAACCUCUAGAAUUUAUUUCCAGUUGACUAGAAGAGCAUCCAAAAGCUCCUCAGAAGUAGGAACUGUGUCUGUUCUGUUGAGGCUCCUAUGCCCAGGAUGUAGCACACUUCCUGGCAUGAAGUGAGUACUCAAUAAAUAUUGAUUGAAUACCAUACUGUGAAUGAAUGACCACUGCAAGUCAAGUAAACUAAAUGGCACCAUGGAAGGCCAAUCAGAAAAAUAGAAAUCAAAAUUAAUUCCAUUUUCCUGUCUACAUUCUAGAGGACUAGAGAAAAUAAAUGAGGACAUAGGAAAAUAUGUAUGAUCCUUUAAAUGAAACCUUAUAUGAAUUAAGCUGUGAUGGUUAUUAUAGUUUUAAGUUUUAUGAUCUGAAUUUGUUCUUCACCCAAUUGUGUUAAAUAACAGAAUAAGUAGAGAAAACCGAGUCUUACCAUACUUGUCAGCUAGAAUCACUCAUUGGCAAAUCUUCUGUCUGUCUGGGAUUAAAUGGAUAAUGCAGUGUGUAUAAUGUAAAGGAAAAUUAAAUACAAUGGCUGUCUACCUCUGAUAAAAAAAAUAUCUUUAACAUUUGCUGAUCUCUUCAU